Molecule: ribosomal RNA, 813 nt
Filed under: Limosilactobacillus fermentum
Lineage: Bacteria; Bacillati; Bacillota; Bacilli; Lactobacillales; Lactobacillaceae
Description: bacterial SSU rRNA
Rfam family: Bacterial small subunit ribosomal RNA
Source: RNAcentral
GCCAACGAGUGGCGGACGGGUGAGUAACACGUAGGUAACCUGCCCAGAAGCGGGGGACAACAUUUGGAAACAGAUGCUAAUACCGCAUAACAACGUUGUUCGCAUGAACAACGCUUAAAAGAUGGCUUCUCGCUAUCACUUCUGGAUGGACCUGCGGUGCAUUAGCUUGUUGGUGGGGUAACGGCCUACCAAGGCGAUGAUGCAUAGCCGAGUUGAGAGACUGAUCGGCCACAAUGGGACUGAGACACGGCCCAUACUCCUACGGGAGGCAGCAGUAGGGAAUCUUCCACAAUGGGCGCAAGCCUGAUGGAGCAACACCGCGUGAGUGAAGAAGGGUUUCGGCUCGUAAAGCUCUGUUGUUAAAGAAGAACACGUAUGAGAGUAACUGUUCAUACGUUGACGGUAUUUAACCAGAAAGUCACGGCUAACUACGUGCCAGCAGCCGCGGUAAUACGUAGGUGGCAAGCGUUAUCCGGAUUUAUUGGGCGUAAAGAGAGUGCAGGCGGUUUUCUAAGUCUGAUGUGAAAGCCUUCGGCUUAACCGGAGAAGUGCAUCGGAAACUGGAUAACUUGAGUGCAGAAGAGGGUAGUGAAACUCCAUGUGUAGCGGUGGAAUGCGUAGAUAUAUGGAAGAACACUAGUGGCGAAGGCGGCUACUUGGUCUGCAACUGACGCUGAGACUCGAAAGCGUGGGUCGCGAACAGGAUUAGAUACCCGGGUAGUCCAUGCCGUAAACGAUGAGUGCUAGGUGUUGGAGAGCUUCGCCCCUUUAGUGCCGGAGCUAACGCAUUAAGGCCCUCCCCCUGGGGAAGUA